Molecule: ribosomal RNA, 2904 nt
Filed under: Escherichia coli
Lineage: Bacteria; Pseudomonadati; Pseudomonadota; Gammaproteobacteria; Enterobacterales; Enterobacteriaceae
Description: 23S ribosomal RNA
Rfam family: Bacterial large subunit ribosomal RNA
Source: RNAcentral
GGUUAAGCGACUAAGCGUACACGGUGGAUGCCCUGGCAGUCAGAGGCGAUGAAGGACGUGCUAAUCUGCGAUAAGCGUCGGUAAGGUGAUAUGAACCGUUAUAACCGGCGAUUUCCGAAUGGGGAAACCCAGUGUGUUUCGACACACUAUCAUUAACUGAAUCCAUAGGUUAAUGAGGCGAACCGGGGGAACUGAAACAUCUAAGUACCCCGAGGAAAAGAAAUCAACCGAGAUUCCCCCAGUAGCGGCGAGCGAACGGGGAGCAGCCCAGAGCCUGAAUCAGUGUGUGUGUUAGUGGAAGCGUCUGGAAAGGCGCGCGAUACAGGGUGACAGCCCCGUACACAAAAAUGCACAUGCUGUGAGCUCGAUGAGUAGGGCGGGACACGUGGUAUCCUGUCUGAAUAUGGGGGGACCAUCCUCCAAGGCUAAAUACUCCUGACUGACCGAUAGUGAACCAGUACCGUGAGGGAAAGGCGAAAAGAACCCCGGCGAGGGGAGUGAAAAAGAACCUGAAACCGUGUACGUACAAGCAGUGGGAGCACGCUUAGGCGUGUGACUGCGUACCUUUUGUAUAAUGGGUCAGCGACUUAUAUUCUGUAGCAAGGUUAACCGAAUAGGGGAGCCGAAGGGAAACCGAGUCUUAACUGGGCGUUAAGUUGCAGGGUAUAGACCCGAAACCCGGUGAUCUAGCCAUGGGCAGGUUGAAGGUUGGGUAACACUAACUGGAGGACCGAACCGACUAAUGUUGAAAAAUUAGCGGAUGACUUGUGGCUGGGGGUGAAAGGCCAAUCAAACCGGGAGAUAGCUGGUUCUCCCCGAAAGCUAUUUAGGUAGCGCCUCGUGAAUUCAUCUCCGGGGGUAGAGCACUGUUUCGGCAAGGGGGUCAUCCCGACUUACCAACCCGAUGCAAACUGCGAAUACCGGAGAAUGUUAUCACGGGAGACACACGGCGGGUGCUAACGUCCGUCGUGAAGAGGGAAACAACCCAGACCGCCAGCUAAGGUCCCAAAGUCAUGGUUAAGUGGGAAACGAUGUGGGAAGGCCCAGACAGCCAGGAUGUUGGCUUAGAAGCAGCCAUCAUUUAAAGAAAGCGUAAUAGCUCACUGGUCGAGUCGGCCUGCGCGGAAGAUGUAACGGGGCUAAACCAUGCACCGAAGCUGCGGCAGCGACGCUGAUGCGUUGUUGGGUAGGGGAGCGUUCUGUAAGCCUGCGAAGGUGUGCUGUGAGGCAUGCUGGAGGUAUCAGAAGUGCGAAUGCUGACAUAAGUAACGAUAAAGCGGGUGAAAAGCCCGCUCGCCGGAAGACCAAGGGUUCCUGUCCAACGUUAAUCGGGGCAGGGUGAGUCGACCCCUAAGGCGAGGCCGAAAGGCGUAGUCGAUGGGAAACAGGUUAAUAUUCCUGUACUUGGUGUUACUGCGAAGGGGGGACGGAGAAGGCUAUGUUGGCCGGGCGACGGUUGUCCCGGUUUAAGCGUGUAGGCUGGUUUUCCAGGCAAAUCCGGAAAAUCAAGGCUGAGGCGUGAUGACGAGGCACUACGGUGCUGAAGCAACAAAUGCCCUGCUUCCAGGAAAAGCCUCUAAGCAUCAGGUAACAUCAAAUCGUACCCCAAACCGACACAGGUGGUCAGGUAGAGAAUACCAAGGCGCUUGAGAGAACUCGGGUGAAGGAACUAGGCAAAAUGGUGCCGUAACUUCGGGAGAAGGCACGCUGAUAUGUAGGUGAAGUCCCUUGCGGAUGGAGCUGAAAUCAGUCGAAGAUACCAGCUGGCUGCAACUGUUUAUUAAAAACACAGCACUGUGCAAACACGAAAGUGGACGUAUACGGUGUGACGCCUGCCCGGUGCCGGAAGGUUAAUUGAUGGGGUCAGCGCAAGCGAAGCUCUUGAUCGAAGCCCCGGUAAACGGCGGCCGUAACUAUAACGGUCCUAAGGUAGCGAAAUUCCUUGUCGGGUAAGUUCCGACCUGCACGAAUGGCGUAAUGAUGGCCAGGCUGUCUCCACCCGAGACUCAGUGAAAUUGAACUCGCUGUGAAGAUGCAGUGUACCCGCGGCAAGACGGAAAGACCCCGUGAACCUUUACUAUAGCUUGACACUGAACAUUGAGCCUUGAUGUGUAGGAUAGGUGGGAGGCUUUGAAGUGUGGACGCCAGUCUGCAUGGAGCCGACCUUGAAAUACCACCCUUUAAUGUUUGAUGUUCUAACGUGGACCCGUGAUCCGGGUUGCGGACAGUGUCUGGUGGGUAGUUUGACUGGGGCGGUCUCCUCCUAAAGAGUAACGGAGGAGCACGAAGGUUGGCUAAUCCUGGUCGGACAUCAGGAGGUUAGUGCAAUGGCAUAAGCCAGCUUGACUGCGAGCGUGACGGCGCGAGCAGGUGCGAAAGCAGGUCAUAGUGAUCCGGUGGUUCUGAAUGGAAGGGCCAUCGCUCAACGGAUAAAAGGUACUCCGGGGAUAACAGGCUGAUACCGCCCAAGAGUUCAUAUCGACGGCGGUGUUUGGCACCUCGAUGUCGGCUCAUCACAUCCUGGGGCUGAAGUAGGUCCCAAGGGUAUGGCUGUUCGCCAUUUAAAGUGGUACGCGAGCUGGGUUUAGAACGUCGUGAGACAGUUCGGUCCCUAUCUGCCGUGGGCGCUGGAGAACUGAGGGGGGCUGCUCCUAGUACGAGAGGACCGGAGUGGACGCAUCACUGGUGUUCGGGUUGUCAUGCCAAUGGCACUGCCCGGUAGCUAAAUGCGGAAGAGAUAAGUGCUGAAAGCAUCUAAGCACGAAACUUGCCCCGAGAUGAGUUCUCCCUGACCCUUUAAGGGUCCUGAAGGAACGUUGAAGACGACGACGUUGAUAGGCCGGGUGUGUAAGCGCAGCGAUGCGUUGAGCUAACCGGUACUAAUGAACCGUGAGGCUUAACCUU